RNAcentral lists this ribosomal RNA (377 nucleotides) under uncultured bacterium. RNAcentral's name for it is "bacterial SSU rRNA". It matches the Rfam family "Bacterial small subunit ribosomal RNA", at positions 521 to 896 of the family's 1533-position model. The record is from RNAcentral.
UAAUACGGAGGGUGCUAGCGUUGUUCGGAAUUACUGGGCGUAAAGCGCGUGUAGGCGGCUUGACAAGUCGGAUGUGAAAUCCCCGGGCUCAACCCUGGAACUGCAUCCGAAACUAUCUGGCUAGAGUCCUGGAGAGGAAGGCAGAAUUCCCGGUGUAGGGGUGAAAUCCGUAGAUACCGGGAGGAAUACCAGUAGCGAAGGCGGCCUUCUGGACAGUGACUGACGCUCAGACGCGAAAGCGUGGGGAGCAAACAGGAUUAGAUACCCUGGUAGUCCACGCUGUAAACGUUGUGCACUAGGUGUCGGGGGUAUUCACCCCUCCGGUGCCGUAGCUAACGUCUUAAGUGCACCGCCUGGGGAGUACGGCCGCAAGGCUA